Molecule: ribosomal RNA, 498 nt
Filed under: uncultured bacterium
Lineage: Bacteria
Description: partial 16S ribosomal RNA
Rfam family: Bacterial small subunit ribosomal RNA
Source: RNAcentral
GAUGAACGCUGGCGGCGUGCCUAAUACAUGCAAGUCGAGCGAACAGACGAGGAGCUUGCUCCUCUGACGUUAGCGGCGGACGGGUGAGUAACACGUGGAUAACCUACCUAUAAGACUGGGAUAACUUCGGGAAACCGGAGCUAAUACCGGAUAAUAUAUUGAACCGCAUGGUUCAAUAGUGAAAGACGGUUUUGCUGUCACUUAUAGAUGGAUCCGCGCCGCAUUAGCUAGUUGGUAAGGUAACGGCUUACCAAGGCGACGAUGCGUAGCCGACCUGAGAGGGGGGUCCGCCCACGUGGGACCUGGACCCGGUCCAGGCCGCCGAGGGGGGGAGCAGGGAGGUAUGCUUCCGGAUGGGGCAAAGGCUGGAAGGGUCAGCCCGGGGGGGGGAAGAAGGUUUUUGGUAUCUAAAAAUUGUGUUAUGAGAAAAAAAAAAUGGUUUAAGUAAUUAGCCACUCCUACGCGGAACCUAAUAAGAAGACCACGACAAGCUACGUC